This 74-nucleotide transfer RNA is filed under the name Ignavibacteriota bacterium. RNAcentral's name for it is "Ignavibacteriae bacterium (groundwater metagenome) tRNA-Arg". It matches the Rfam family "tRNA". Rfam says of the family: Transfer RNA (tRNA) molecules are approximately 80 nucleotides in length. Their secondary structure includes four short double-helical elements and three loops (D, anti-codon, and T loops). Further hydrogen bonds mediate the characteristic L-shaped molecular structure. tRNAs have two regions of fundamental functional importance: the anti-codon, which is responsible for specific mRNA codon recognition, and the 3' end, to which the tRNAs corresponding amino acid is attached (by aminoacyl-tRNA synthetases). tRNAs cope with the degeneracy of the genetic code in two manners: having more than one tRNA (with a specific anti-codon) for a particular amino acid; and 'wobble' base-pairing, i.e. permitting non-standard base-pairing at the 3rd anti-codon position. The record is from RNAcentral. Lineage: Bacteria; Pseudomonadati; Ignavibacteriota.
GUGCCCGUAGCUCAGCCGGAUAGAGCGUCAGCCUUCUAAGCUGAAUGUCGGUGGUUCGAAUCCACCCGGGCAUG